Molecule: ribosomal RNA, 497 nt
Filed under: uncultured bacterium
Lineage: Bacteria
Description: partial 16S ribosomal RNA
Rfam family: Bacterial small subunit ribosomal RNA
Source: RNAcentral
GAUGAACGCUGGCGGCGUGCCUAUUACAUGCAAGUCGAGCGAACAGACGAGUAGCUUGCUCCUCUGACGUUAGCGGCGGACGGGUGAGUAACACGUGGAUAACCUACCUAUCAGACUGGGAUAACUUCGGGAAACCGGAGCUACUACCGGAUAAUAUAUUGAACCGCAUGGUUCAAUAGUGAAAGACGGUUUUGCUGUCACUUAUAGAUGGAUCCGCGCCGCAUUAGCUAGUUGGUAAGGUAACGGCUUACCAAGGCAACGAUGCGUAGCCGACCUGAGAGGGGGGUCGGCCACACUGGAGCUGAGGCACGGUCCAGACUCCUACGGGAGGAAGCAGUAGGGAAUCUUCCGGAAUGGGCGGAAGCCUGACGGAGCAACGCCGCGUGGGGGAUGAAGGUCUUCGGAUCGUAAAACUCUGUUAUUAGGGGAGAACAAAUGUGUAAGUAACUAUGCACGUCUUGACGGUACCUAAUCAGAAAGCCACGGCUAACUACGUG